GCAUAACGCGAAGAACCUUACCUGGCCUUGACAUGUCCGGAAUUCUGCAGAGAUGCGGAAGUGCCUUCGGGAAUCGGAACGCAGGUGCUGCAUGGCUGUCGUCAGCUCGUGUCGUGAGAUGUUGGGUUAAGUCCCGCAACGAGCGCAACCCUUGUCCUUAGUUGCCAGCGAGUAAUGUCGGGAACUCUAAGGAGACUGCCGGUGACAAACCGGAGGAAGGUGGGGAUGACGUCAAGUCCUCAUGGCCCUUACGGCCAGGGCUACACACGUACUACAAUGGUGACUACAAAGGGAAGCAACCCCGCGAGGGCAAGCAAAUCCCAGAAAGGUCAUCCCAGUUCGGAUUGUAGUCUGCAACUCGACUACAUGAAGCUGGAAUCGCUAGUAAUCGCGAAUCAGAAUGUCGCGGUGAAUACGUUCCCGGGUC
Molecule: ribosomal RNA, 427 nt
Filed under: uncultured bacterium
Lineage: Bacteria
Description: bacterial SSU rRNA
Rfam family: Bacterial small subunit ribosomal RNA
Source: RNAcentral